Molecule: long non-coding RNA, 247 nt
Filed under: Capsicum annuum
Lineage: Eukaryota; Viridiplantae; Streptophyta; Magnoliopsida; Solanales; Solanaceae
Description: long non-coding RNA (CANN_LNC001057)
Source: RNAcentral
GGCCGAGAAGUUGAACUUAUUUUUGUUGUAUCUUGGAUGAAUGUUGUGUGUCUAGUUCUAGGAUUUAUUUUUCUUGUGUUAUUGUUUCAAGUGUUAGUAUUCUUGUCCAUUAACACUUUGAGUCGAUUUAGAUUUAAGCUUUAAAAAUUUGAUGUUGUUGUUGUGAACAAGACUAUGGCCGUGUUUUGAAGUUGUUGUUCUUGGACUUACGGACUUGUUUUUAUAGUCUUGGAUGGAUGUUGUUGGU